Molecule: ribosomal RNA, 506 nt
Filed under: uncultured bacterium
Lineage: Bacteria
Description: partial 16S ribosomal RNA
Rfam family: Bacterial small subunit ribosomal RNA
Source: RNAcentral
GAUGAACGCUAGCUACAGGCUUAACACAUGCAAGUCGAGGGGUAACAAGGGGAAAGCUUGCUUUCCUUGUUGACGACCGGCGCACGGGUGAGUAACGCGUAUCCAACCUGCCUAUAACUAGGGAAUAACCUUGCGAAAGUAAGACUAAUACCCUAUGAUUUCCUUUGAUGACAUCAGAUUAGGAAUAAAGAUUUAUCGGUUAUAGAUGGGGAUGCGUCUGAUUAGCUUGUUGGCGGGGUAACGGCCCACCAAGGCAACGAUCAGUAGGGGUUCUGAGAGGAAGGUCCCCCACAUUGGAACUGAGACACGGUCCAAACUCCUACGGGAGGCAGCGGUGAGGAAUAUUGGUCAAUGGGCGGAAGCCUGAACCAGCCAAGUAGCGUGCAUGAUGACGGCCCUAUGGGUUAUAAACUGCUUUUAUACAGGAAUAAAGUUAGCCACGUGUGGUUAUUUGUAGGUACUGUAUGAAUAAGGACCGGCUAAUUCCGUGCCAGCCGCCGCGGUAA